CCUACGGGUGGCAGCAGUGGGGGAUAUUGCACAAUGGGGGAAACCCUGAUGCAGCGACACCGCGUGGGCGAAGCAGCGCCUCGGCGCGUAAAGCCCUGUCAGCAGGGAAGAAAAUGACGGUACCUGAAGAAGAAGCCCCGGCUAACUACGUGCCAGCAGCCGCGGUAAUACGUAGGGGGCAAGCGUUAUCCGGAUUUACUGGGCGUAAAGGGGGCGCAGACGGCGAUGCAAGCCAGGAGUGAAAGCCCGGGGCCCAACCCCGGGACUGCUCUUGGAACUGGGUGGCUAGAGUGCAGGAGGGGCAAGCGGAAUUCCUGGUGUAGCGGUGAAAUGCGUAGAUAUCAGGAGGAACACCGGUGGCGAAGGCGGCCUGCUGGACUGCAACUGACGUUGAGGCCCGAAAGCGUGGGGAGCAAACAGGAUUAGAUACCCUAGUAGUC
RNAcentral lists this ribosomal RNA (440 nucleotides) under uncultured bacterium. RNAcentral describes it as "partial 16S ribosomal RNA". It matches the Rfam family "Bacterial small subunit ribosomal RNA", at positions 338 to 795 of the family's 1533-position model. The record is from RNAcentral.